Long non-coding RNA from Anthonomus grandis grandis, 919 nucleotides. RefSeq lists it as uncharacterized. The transcript is spliced from 3 exons. The record is from RefSeq and is a predicted model, not a curated record. Lineage: Eukaryota; Metazoa; Arthropoda; Insecta; Coleoptera; Curculionidae.
AUUAUAGAUUGCCUAAUAUAUGCCCAAAGGGAACAAUGGAUUUCAUUAAUGGAAAUCAACACAAUUUAACAGAACAUAUUUGUUUGUUCAGAUCACAUCCUUAGAAGUGAUUUCUUAUAUAAAAAAGAUAAUAUUAUCAGUAGCCAGACUUAAACAGAUUAAAAAAAUCAGCUCUACCUCAAAGGUAAUUUUUUUUUAAAUAUAUUUUUCUAGUAUAAAAAAAUCGUCACAAAAAGGAUUAGUGUUACUCAUAUAAGCUUUAUUUAUACCUAAUACUUAUUAAAUUAGGUAUGUAUGUAAAACUAUUUUUUUACUAGGAUUUCUGAUGCACUGGUUAAAAACACAGCAGCUGAUAAUUCAGUUAAUUUACCAAGUGAUUUACCCUUCAAAGCUGCAGGGGUAGUUUUCCUGAAGAGUGCAAAAACUUCUUUAGCUUCCAAAAUGGUAUAUAGUACAAACAGUGAAGCUGAUAUAGACAAAUCUGAUCAUUCAUCAUCAACAAUAACUGCAUCUGAGAUUAAUAGUUCUACAGUAACCGUGGGGUCUAGGUCAACAAUUACUAUUUCUCAUCCAAUCCGUUUUUGUUUAACUGCUACACAUUCCCUGACUCUGCCAAGGAAAAGGGUAAAAUCAAAAUGAUAUCCUGAGGACCUAAGCACUGAUGAUUCCACCGUUUCAAAAGCUAAAUCACUUGUUACCAAAUUAUGGAAAAAAAAUAAAGAGCAAAAAAUUAAAAUUCGAAGAUUGCAAUAAACAAAUUUGCCCCAAAGAAAUUGAAUUAGAUGUCUCAAAUCAUUAUUAAAAUACUUAAGAAAUAAUAACAUGAUUUUCGAAAAAGCCCAACAUACUACAUAUUUUAUUUGACUUGUAAAAGUACUUGUUUGUAUAUUUUUACUAAUAAACUAUUUAAUCUAAUCUA